Long non-coding RNA from Magallana angulata, 962 nucleotides. RefSeq lists it as uncharacterized. The record is from RefSeq and is a predicted model, not a curated record. The transcript is spliced from 3 exons. Lineage: Eukaryota; Metazoa; Mollusca; Bivalvia; Ostreida; Ostreidae.
AUUGCCAAUAAUUCUAGUAGAAUAUUAUGUCAAAACCAACUGUGAGCCAAAAAAAAAAUGUAUUUUUAGAAUUAUAUGAAAAAAAUUAUUUCUAACUAUAACUUACAUAUAUCACCAAUUAUUUCCAGAUUUGAUCACAGGUCUGAAAGGCAUUUUCUCCCAGUAACUCAAUUGUCUGAACUAGGAUGUCAUCACUGAGCUCGUCAAGCAUCGGAUCCAUGACAAAGGGUCAAACUUAAUUAAUUUAUACAUGUAAACAGGUACUAGUAUAGGUAGAGAUUCAGAAAAUCAACUACUUUUUAGGUACCAGUGGUUAUGUAAGAAUUUUAAGUAAAGCAUCGGUACAUGUAUUACUUUGCCUAAUAUAUCAAAGACCUAUAACUCAUAGAUGCUUCUUUAUAAAAAGCCUGCCAAUUUCAACUCAGUAUCAUCAGACUCAUCAAAGGGGAAUAACUCAUUCAUCAGUGACUAUAGUCAAAGAAAGAUAACUCGUACAUAUUACAUGUACUGGUGAACUAUAAAUUCAAAAGUGCAGCUUUCAUAUUUGGUAUUUCAACACUAUAGAUAUUCAUAGAAAAAAUUGAAUCGUCAAGUAAUUGACAAAUAUAACUCAUGUUGCAGCUGAUGUCCUAGGACUUCAAUAAAGAUAAAAUAUUUUAAUAAUUGUGUUACCGGUAAAUAUAUAUACAUGUGUAUAUAUAUAUCAGUUUAAUCUUCACCAUGAAUUAAAAUUUUGGCAUUUUUCAGACCCUGGAGAUAAUAACAGCUGGAAAGUUACUACUAUCACAGUCAGCUUAGAAUCUACGGACUGUGUAUUGGGAGACCCUGGAGAUGAUAACAGCUGGAAAGUUACUCUAUCACAGCCAGCUUAGAAUCUACGGACUGUUUAUUGGGAGAUACCCAUUGGCCACACUGGAAGUCCACUGUUGCUACACCAGAAUCGUUGCUUUUGUACAUUAUAA